Molecule: ribosomal RNA, 253 nt
Filed under: uncultured bacterium
Lineage: Bacteria
Description: partial 16S ribosomal RNA
Rfam family: Bacterial small subunit ribosomal RNA
Source: RNAcentral
UACGUAGGGUGCAGGCGUUAAUCGGAAUUACUGGGCGUAAAGCGUGCGCAGGCGGUUUCUUAAGUCAGAUGUGAAAGCCCCGGGCUUAACCUGGGAACUGCGUUUGAAACUGGGAGACUUGAGUGUGGCAGAGGGGGGUGGAAUUCCACGUGUAGCAGUGAAAUGCGUAGAUAUGUGGAGGAACACCAGUGGCGAAGGCGGUACUCUGGGCCGGAACUGACGCUGAGGAGCGAAAGCGUGGGUAGCGAACAGG